AGGUCACUGCUAUCAGAGUUUGAUUAAGCCAUGCAAGUUGGGGGUUCUUCGUGAGCCCGGCGGACUGCUCAGUAACACGUGGAUAACCUGCCCUUGGGACUGGAAUAACCCCGUGAAAUUGGGGACAAUGCUAGAUAGGGCAUUGAUGCUGGAAUGCUUGAUGAUCGAAACGUCCGAAAGGAUGCCCAAGGAUGGACCUGCGGCCGAUUAGGUUGAUGUUGAUGUAAAGGAUCAACAUGCCUAUGAUCGGUACGGGUUGUGGGAGCAAGAGCCCGGAGAUGGAUUCUGAGACAAGAAUCCAGGCCCUACGGGGCGCAGCAGGCGCGAAAACUUUAUAAUGCACGAAAGUGUGAUAAGGGAACUCUGAGUGCUUUCUCGUAAAGCUGUCCAAAUGCCUAAAAAGCAUUUGCUAGCAAGGGCCGGGUAAGACCGGUGCCAGCCGCCGCGGUAACACCGGCGGCCCUAGUGGUGAUCGCUAUUAUUGGGUCUAAAGGGUCCGUAGCCGUCUUAGUAAGUCCUUUGGGAAAUCCGGCGGCUUAAUCGUCGGUUGUUUAGAGGAUACUGCUUGGAUUGGGACCGGGAUAGGCUAGAGGUAUCUCAGGGGUAGGAGUGAAAUCUUGUAAUCCUUGAGGGACCACCUGUGGCGAAGGCGUCUAGCUGGAACGGGUCCGACGGUAAGGGACGAAAGCUAGGGGCGCGAACCGGAUUAGAUACCCGGGUAGUCCUAGCUGUAAACGAUGCGAGCUAGGUGGUAGUCCCACUGCGAGUGGUACUGAUGCCGUAGGGAAGCCGUGAAGCUCGCCACCUGGGAAGUACGGUCGCAAGGCUGAAACUUAAAGGAAUUGGCGGGGGAGCACAACAACGGGUGGAUGCUGCGGUUU
Molecule: ribosomal RNA, 881 nt
Filed under: uncultured euryarchaeote
Lineage: Archaea; Methanobacteriati; Methanobacteriota
Description: bacterial SSU rRNA
Rfam family: Archaeal small subunit ribosomal RNA
Source: RNAcentral